UGAGAAUGGUGUGUUUUGGUC
Molecule: microRNA, 21 nt
Filed under: Gallus gallus (chicken)
Lineage: Eukaryota; Metazoa; Chordata; Aves; Galliformes; Phasianidae
Description: microRNA Ros-gga
Source: RNAcentral